RNA transcript from Eriocheir sinensis (Chinese mitten crab), 864 nucleotides. It is a transcript of the gene named importin subunit alpha-4-like, with no coding region annotated. The record is from RefSeq and is a predicted model, not a curated record. The transcript has 5 exons. Lineage: Eukaryota; Metazoa; Arthropoda; Malacostraca; Decapoda; Varunidae.
UUAAUGCACUUUAAUUUAUUCCUCAGGAAAUGCGAAGAAGAAGAACAGAAGUCACAGUUGAACUUAGAAAGAACAAACGAGAGGAAACUUUCUUAAAACGAAGAAAUGUACCAACCAUAGACUCUACAACAGAUGAUGAUGAUGUGGACAAGCAGCUCACAGCAGCCAACUUAGCCCUUAUUGUGGAGAACGCAGCCAGUGAAGACCAGAUGGUACAGUUGACGGCAGUGCAGGCGGCCCGCAAGCUGCUCUCGUCAGACAGGAAUCCACCAAUAGAUGACCUUAUCCAGUCUGGCAUUCUUCCUAUACUUGUGAAAUGCUUAGAAGGCACAGACAACCUGUCACUGCAGUUUGAAGCAGCUUGGGCCCUCACCAACAUCGCGUCAGGCACCUCCCGGCAAACGCAAGCAGUGGUUCACGCGGAGCAGUUCCGUUGUUCCUUAAACUCUUACACUCCUCCAGCCAAAACGUUUGUGAACAAGCUGUUUGGGCAUUAGUGUGCCCCUGAGAGCUCCCUGCAGCACAGCGAGUCUCUUCUUGGACGGCUCAGAGGCACAGAAGAUGUAGCCAGACUUGCCGGCCAAACCCGAGGGUGUGUGUUGAUGCUGGGACCAAGAAGAAGAAGAAGAGGAAGAGGAGGAGGAGAAGGAAGAUGAUAAUCGCAACAGGAAGAUCAGAAGAAGAGGAGGAAGAAGAAGAAGAAGAGGAGGAGGAAGAAUGGAAGAAGAGAAGAGAACACACACACACACACACAUAUAUAUGACAAACACCUUUUUCUAUAUUUUUCAUUUUUAUUAGUCCAUAAAACAUACAUUAGCUAUAUACAUAUAAUACAACAUAUGCAUAACUAUAUACAUUAGACCG